This 299-nucleotide ribosomal RNA is filed under the name uncultured bacterium. Its description in RNAcentral is "partial 16S ribosomal RNA". It matches the Rfam family "Bacterial small subunit ribosomal RNA", at positions 790 to 1084 of the family's 1533-position model. The record is from RNAcentral.
GUAGUCCUGGCAGUAAACGGUGCGCGUUUGGUGUGGGAGGAUUCGACCCCUUCCGUGCCGGAGCUAACGCGUUAAACGCGCCGCCUGGGGAGUACGGUCGCAAGAUUAAAACUCAAAGAAAUUGACGGGGGCCCGCACAAGCGGUGGAGUAUGUGGCUUAAUUCGAUGCAACGCGAAGAACCUUACCUAGCCUUGACAUGCAUCUCUCAGUCGGUGAAAGCCGGCGAGCCUAGCAAUAGGCAAUUUGCACAGGUGCUGCAUGGCUGUCGUCAGCUCGUGUCGUGAGAUGUUGGGUUAAG